AACGAACGCUGGCGGCGCGUUUUAAGCAUGCAAGUCGGACGGCAAGAGUGGUAGCAAUACUGCUCCUAGAGUGGCAAACGGGUGAGUAACACGUAGGUGAUCUGCCUCUGGAUGGGGGAUAGUCCGUGGAAACACGGGGUAAUACCGCAUGAGGCCCUGAGGGUAGAGCCUUGGGGUGAAAGGUGCAAUUGCACCGUCUGGGGAUGAGCCUGCGGUCCAUUAGGUAGUUGGCGGGGUAAGAGCCCACCAAGGCUCAGACGGGUAGCUGGUCUGAGAGGACGACCAGCCACACUGGGACUGGAACACGGCCCAGACUCCUACGGGAGGCAGCAGUGAGGAAUAUUGCGCAAUGGGCGAAAGCCUGACGCAGCAACGCCGCGUGAGGGAAGAAGGCUUUCGG
This 400-nucleotide ribosomal RNA is filed under the name uncultured bacterium. RNAcentral's name for it is "bacterial SSU rRNA". It matches the Rfam family "Bacterial small subunit ribosomal RNA", at positions 29 to 421 of the family's 1533-position model. The record is from RNAcentral.